CAGCCGCCGCGGGAAUACAGAGGGUGCAAGCGUUAAUCGGAAUUACUGGGCGUAAAGCGCACGCAGGCGGCUCGAUAAAUUAGAAGUGAAAGCCUUGGGCUUAACCUGAGAAUUGCUUUUAAGACUGUCGAGCUAGAAUCCAGAAGAGGGUAGUGGAAUUCCGAGUGUAGAGGUGAAAUUCGUAGAUAUUCGGAAGAACACCAGUGGCGAAGGCGACUACCUGGUCUGGCAUUGACGCUCAUGUGCGAAAGCGUGGGGAGCAAACAGGAUUAGAGACCCCGGUAGUCCCUGUCUCUUAUAC
Molecule: ribosomal RNA, 301 nt
Filed under: uncultured bacterium
Lineage: Bacteria
Description: partial 16S ribosomal RNA
Rfam family: Bacterial small subunit ribosomal RNA
Source: RNAcentral